UCCUCAAAAUCUCCCCCAAACUGGGACCCCCUGCCCUUUACUGGGAGCACUGGGAGCUUCUGGCUCCGCCCCCUUUUGUAUUUAUUAAAGGUAUUUUGGGACAAAAUCUCCUUUUUUGGUCAUUUCUGGGAAAGGGGGGGUUGUGGGGGAGGGGCCGGCUGAGCCCUAAUGAGAUUUUGCUAAUAAUGUUUAUAAUUACAGUGAAUAAAUUUUAUUAUUAUUAAAAUUAUAUUAUUAGUAGGGAAUUAUAUUGGUAAAUAUGACUUAAGGGUUACAUUUAUUAUUAUUAUUAUUAUUAUUAUUAUUAUUAUUAUUAUUAUUAUUAUUGGUAUUGUUAUUAUUAUUACUGAAAUAAUAAUAUUAUUUAUUAUUAUGUAAUUAUUAUGAGAAUAUAAUUAUAAUUAUAAUAUUUAUAAUAAUAAAAUUAAAUUAUAUUAGUAAUCAUAACUUGAGGGUAAAAGAAUGCUAAUAAUAGUAGUAGUAGUAGUAAUAAUAAUAAAAAUAAUAAUAAUAUUACCCUCAAUUAUAAUCACUGAUUAAAGUGAAUAAAAAUUAGUAUUAUUUAAAUAUAUUAAUAGUAGGUAAUUAUAUUGGCAAUUAUGACUUUAGGGGAUAUUAAUAAUAAUAAUAUUAAUAUUAUUAUUAUUAUUAUUACUAUGAAUAAUAAUAUAAUAAUUAUUAAUAGUAUAAUUAUAAUAAUAAUGGAAAAAUAUUAUGAAAAAUCAUUUAUAAAAUAACAAAAAGCAAAACAAAAACAAGGAAAAAAUUCAAAACCCAUCACAUAUUUAACCCCAAAAUUAUCCAUUUUUAAUCAGCAAACUUUCCUCAAAAAUCCCAAUUUUCUCCCCAAAAAACGACUCCGGCACCGCUGCUCAAGCCACACCCAUUUAUUGCAGCACAAGCCCCGCCCUCAGCGGAGGAGGGGCAGCAGCACGAAGGGGAGGAGCCACCCGGGCCCGCCCAGCGAUUGGCCCCGCCCCACCGGGCCCUUGAUCCCGUCCUUGCGCCCCAUUGGCCGCCUGGGGGCCACGUGACCGGCGGCCAUAUUGUCUCCGUCAGCCAUUUUGUCUCCGUCCGCCAUUUUGUCUCCGUCAGCCAUCUUGUUUUCAUCAGCCAUCUUGUUUCCGUCAGCCAUUUUGUCUCCGUCAGCCAUCUUGUCUCCGUCAGCCAUCUUGUUUCCGUCAGCCAUCUUGUCCCCAGCAGCCAUCUUGCCCCCGGCAGCCAUCUUGCCGCGGGUGCCAUUUUUCCCGCCCCCAUCCUCCGUGGCGUUAUUGGGCGUGGCCGUGGGGGCGUGGCCGUGCGGCAGCAGCUCCAGCCGGGGCAGAUCGGGCGAGAACAAACUCCUGUCGGCCAUCUUGUCGUUGCAGAGGUCGCCGCGGCAACAGGAGCCGGCCAAUGAGGCGUCGGCGUCGCCGCGGCGCUCGGGGGCGCAGCCGCCAUCGGGGACGCAGCCCCGCAGCUCCCGCCACAGGGUGAGGUUACCUGAGGGGAAAGGGGGCGUGGUUUACGCAGAGUGGGCGGGGUUUAGAGAGAAAGGGGCAUGGUUUAACGCGAAGGGGACGUGGUUUAA
Long non-coding RNA from Junco hyemalis (dark-eyed junco), 1570 nucleotides. Lineage: Eukaryota; Metazoa; Chordata; Aves; Passeriformes; Passerellidae. The record is from Ensembl.